Molecule: long non-coding RNA, 1026 nt
Organism: Nycticebus coucang (slow loris)
Lineage: Eukaryota; Metazoa; Chordata; Mammalia; Primates; Lorisidae
Exons: 3
Source: RefSeq, a predicted model, not a curated record
UUCAUUCAGAGCACAUUCUCUUUUUAACCAGAUUCCCCGUAGCAUGGCCUAUUUCAAAAUGGAUUGGCAUAUUCCAUCUAUUAUUUGAAUUUAAAUAAAUGCUGGAUAAUGCUCAGGAAUAGUAGUUGUGAAAUGUUUUCUUUGAGGUAAGUUAGUCAAAAUUUCACUUUUCCUGGCAAAGUUAUCAAGUUGCUUAAAUGUUUGUAUGCUUAACUGUAUUUAUCAGAACAAAGUUCAUUUUCCAACAAAUGAAACCAAAGCCUCCUUUUAACUUCCAUCCUCUAACUUUCUUCUCUCUCAAAUGUGGUCACUUUUGUUUUUCAAGACCUCUUCUUCAUUCUCCUCUCCUGCCAAAAAACCUCUUGGAUUGAGUCCUACCUUGGCCGCCCACCAACUCUCAUCAAAGCUGGAAGUGUACUUGACGCACAUCCCAGCUGGAUGCCAAAUGGUCAAGGGUUGAAAUCAACAUUCGCUGACACCAAAUGUCACCAUUUUAUAACUAAUUACUGAGAUACAAGAAUAUGAAACUCAAUACAAAUGUUCUGGCUUAUGCACCAUCUAGAGACGUCUUCCCCGGCAACAUUAUAUAAAACAGCCCUCAUGAAUCACCCUUCGUCACGUUCCCCUGAGUUACCGAUUUCCUUCACUGCCCUUACUGACAUCUGAAUUUGAAUAAAUUCCAUCACAGCGGAGACCUGGCCUGACUUGUUAUUCAUUUAUAGACUAAUAGAUUCUUAUUUUGUUCCAUAAAUACCUGUAUAUAAUCUCCAACUAUCACUACUUAUUGUGUGGCUCAAAUUGUCCCAGAUCUGGCCAGGAUGUCACCCUGUCCUCACACCUCCAUCUGUUUGUUUUACUUUGUUUUUCUGUUUUCAGCACUUUACUUUCUGCCAUCACAAGAUGUCCCAGGUUCAUAGGUUUAUCUUGUACUUUUCUGCUCCAGCCCACAGAGCUCUAUUAUCCUUAAAGCCCUUUUCAUAGCCAAUAACUACAAUGACCAUGUGCUAGAUUAUAGACUAAAGUGAA